This 1252-nucleotide long non-coding RNA is filed under the name Homo sapiens (human). RNAcentral describes it as "PREDICTED lncRNA (TCONS_00246546)". The record is from RNAcentral. Lineage: Eukaryota; Metazoa; Chordata; Mammalia; Primates; Hominidae.
AAUUCUGUCUGGACACAAAGGAAAAAUCGGAAUUGGCAGAUACUCUCUCGGUUACUCCCUGGUUGCAGUUAAUGAGCAGCCUGUUCGCCUGCAGCCUUUAGACAGGGAACAAGGGGCACAGCUUUUCCCACUUUAUUGGUUACUGACUGGGAAAGAAGGAUUCCACUAGCACUGCUUGGCUAUCAAAGCUGGGCAAUGUGAUCCUCUAAGCCACAUGUUUAGGAAUUGACAAACAAUUGUGGAGGUUGGCAAUUCCAAAAUCUGAGGAGUAGGUAAACUGGAAGACUAGAGACCCUGGGAAGAGUUGAUGUUACAGCUUGAAUCUGAAGGCAGUCUGCUGGAAGAAUCCCCUCUUUCUUGUAGAAGCCCCUUGACUGGGCAAACUUCAAACAAGUGACUGAGCUCCCUUAGCUGCCACUGAUUGGACCAGGAUGGACAACAAAUGUAGGAGGAGUUCAUCUGGAUCUAGCCUGAGCCAGUCAGAUAUCCCCUUUGAAUCCAUGCCUAUAGAAAUACAAAAAAAUGGAAGCCAGAGGAUGAUGGAUCCUUGAAGUAAUAAGUCAGCUCUGUGGAAGUUUGAGUGACUCAUUGCAGAGAGGAAUUGAUGAAGUCAACAGCUGCUGGAAAAACUUCUUUUUCCUUAAUAGCUGUAUCAACAUGUGGUUGCUAUUAUUCAAAGUGGAUGAAAUAAUUCUGCAAGCCAGUGGGAACAGGAAGCUUCAUGAAGAGGAGAAAGGCUUAGGGCUCAGAAACCGCACAGAGCAGGAGGAUAGAUGAAUGUAAGGAACAGAGCUUUGAGGACAGACACCCCUGGAUUAGACAAUAGCUCCAAAACUUAUUAAUGAUGGUGAAUGGGUGACUUUCUAAAACCCUUUAAACCUUAUUUGUAAAAUGGGACCAUCAAUAUCUAUUUUGAAAUCUUGUAUAAAUUUGCAAUAAUGUCUGUAAAGUAUCUGACAGGAGCUCAGAAAUGACACAAUUCUUUAAAUCCACUCACACCCAACUUUUAAACAAAAAGUAGCAGUAUAUCCUACACACGAUUUUUAAAUUUUACUAUUUAAGUUAACAUCAUGCUAUGAACAUAUUUCCAUGUCAUUAAAUAUUCUAUUCCAUCCAAUAUUUAAAAGCUAAUAGAAGUCUGUUAAAUGCAUAUGCCAUAAUUUAUUUAACCAAUUCGGUUGUUUUAAUAUUUAUGUUGUUUCCAAUAUAUUAUGCUAUUGACAAUAAAAUGAUGAACAUUUAUGAUGAUGAA